UAAACUCUGAAAAGGAUUGAGUUCCCGAAGGAGAAAUCAAAUUCAUAGUGUCUCAAGGAAUCAAAUGGCUUGAGUUUCAAGGACAAGUAACGUGCAUGGGAGUGACCAUUCUGCUGGCUCAGAGCAUCCCUCAAGUUCCACCCAUCUGGAAAAAGCCAGAUCACUUCAAGGGACCCGCUCUCUUUGCCAGUCUCCCAGCUUUCAAAGGCCUCUGUCCAGCAGUGGAUCAAGC
Kogia breviceps (pygmy sperm whale) is the source of this 232-nucleotide non-coding RNA. The record is from RefSeq and is a predicted model, not a curated record. Lineage: Eukaryota; Metazoa; Chordata; Mammalia; Artiodactyla; Physeteridae.